AUGCACGCUGGCGGCGUGCUUCACCCCUGCCAGUCGAACGAUGAAGCCCAGCUUGCUGGGUGGAUUAGUGGCGAACGGGUGAGUAACACGUGAGUAACCUGCCCUUAACUCUGGGAUAAGCCUGGGAAACUGGGUCUAAUACCGGAUAGGAGCGCCUACCGCAUGGUGGGUGUUGGAAAGAUUUAUCGGUUUUGGAUGGACUCGCGGCCUAUCAGCUUGUUGGUGAGGUAAUGGCUCACCAAGGCGACGACGGGUAGCCGGCCUGAGAGGGUGACCGGCCACACUGGGACUGAGACACGGCCCAGACUCCUACGGGAGGCAGCAGUGGGGAAUAUUGCACAAUGGGCGAAAGCCUGAUGCAGCGACGCCGCGUGAGGGAUGACGGCCUUCGGGUUGUAAACCUCUUUCAGUAGGGAAGAAGCGAAAGUGACGGUACCUGCAGAAGAAGCACCGGCUAACUACGUG
Molecule: ribosomal RNA, 465 nt
Filed under: uncultured bacterium
Lineage: Bacteria
Description: partial 16S ribosomal RNA
Rfam family: Bacterial small subunit ribosomal RNA
Source: RNAcentral